Molecule: ribosomal RNA, 353 nt
Filed under: Kondoa aeria
Lineage: Eukaryota; Fungi; Basidiomycota; Agaricostilbomycetes; Agaricostilbales; Kondoaceae
Description: eukaryotic LSU rRNA
Rfam family: 5.8S ribosomal RNA (bases 1-77)
Source: RNAcentral
ACUCAGUGAAUCAUCGAAUUUUUGAACGCACCUUGCGCUCUUUAGUUAUUCUGAAGAGCAUGCUUGUUUGAGUGUCGCGAACCUCUCAACCCCGCCCAAGGCUUAAUUGACUUGCGGUUGUUUGGGCUUGGAUCAUGGUCUCUUGUCGUUACCUUCGGGUUUGGACUGGACUGAAAUACAACAAGUUGAAUGGUUUCCAUUUGCAGCUUGACCUGAUGUUGUAAACUACUCAUCGGGGAUGCAAUGAAGCUAAAGGAACUUUAACAGAACCCCUUAAAUGGUACCUAGUACAUUUAUGACCUCAAAUCAAGUAGGACUACCCGCUGAACUUAAGCAUAUCAAUAAGCGGAGGA